UACGUAGGGGGCAAGCGUUAUCCGGAAUUACUGGGUGUAAAGGGAGCGCAGACGGCAGUGCAAGUCUGGAGUGAAAGCCCGUGGCUUAACUACGGGACUGCUCUGGAAACUGUGCAGCUAGAGUGCAGGAGAGGCAGGCGGAAUUCCUAGUGUAGCGGUGAAAUGCGUAGAUAUUAGGAGGAACACCGGUGGCGAAGGCGGCCUGCUGGACUGUAACUGACGUUGAGGCUCGAAAGCGUGGGGAGCAAACAGG
RNAcentral lists this ribosomal RNA (253 nucleotides) under uncultured bacterium. RNAcentral's name for it is "partial 16S ribosomal RNA". It matches the Rfam family "Bacterial small subunit ribosomal RNA", at positions 524 to 776 of the family's 1533-position model. The record is from RNAcentral.